Molecule: ribosomal RNA, 378 nt
Filed under: uncultured organism
Description: partial 16S ribosomal RNA
Rfam family: Bacterial small subunit ribosomal RNA
Source: RNAcentral
GUAGGGGGCGAACGUUGUCCGGAUUUAUUGGGCGUAAAGGGCUCGUAGGCGGUUCAACAAGUUGGCCGUGAAAACCCGGGGCUCAACCCCCGGGACGCCGGUCGAAACUGUUGUGACUAGGGUCCGGUAGAGGUCAUUGGAAUUCUCGGUGUAGCGGUGAAAUGCGCAGAUAUCGAGAGGAACACCAGUAGCGAAGGCGGAUGACUGGGCCGGUACCGACGCUAAGGAGCGAAAGCGUGGGGAGCAAACAGGAUUAGAUACCCUGGUAGUCCACGCCGUAAACGUUGAACACUAGGUGUGGGGGACUUAUCCACGUCCUCCGUGCCCGUAGCUAACGCAUUAAGUGUUCCGCCCUGGGGGAGUACGGCCGCAAGGCUA